GAUGAAGAACGUAGUGAAAUGCGAUAAGUAAUGUGAAUUGCAGAAUUCAGUGAAUCACCGAAUCUUUGAACGCACCUUGCACUCCUUGGUAUUCCGAGGAGUACGCCUGUUCGAGUGUUAUGAAGCUCUCAAAACGCAAUUGGCUUAAAACCUGAUUGUUGUUUUGGAUUUGAACUUUGCCGUGUUAUAACGGCUGGUUUUAAAAGUAUUAGCUGGUACUAGAACGAAUUGGUUCUACUCAACGUGAUAAUUAUCUGAUCGUUGAGGACAUUCCUUUCACGAGGAAUGGCCAUAGUAAAUUCAAUGGACUGCUUCUAAUCUGGCUUUAAUUCUUUAUUGGAUUAACCACUUUUCAAAUCUGACCUCGAAUCAGGUGGGACUACCCGCUGAACUUAAGCAUAUCAAUAAGCGGAGGA
Molecule: unclassified non-coding RNA, 416 nt
Filed under: soil metagenome
Description: partial contains 5.8S ribosomal RNA, internal transcribed spacer 2, and large subunit ribosomal RNA
Rfam family: 5.8S ribosomal RNA (bases 1-120)
Source: RNAcentral